Molecule: ribosomal RNA, 253 nt
Filed under: uncultured bacterium
Lineage: Bacteria
Description: partial 16S ribosomal RNA
Rfam family: Bacterial small subunit ribosomal RNA
Source: RNAcentral
UACAGAGGUCCCAAGCGUUGUUCGGAUUCAUUGGGCGUAAAGGGUGUGUAGGUGGCGCCGUAAGUCGGGUGUGAAAUUUCGGAGCUUAACUCCGAAACUGCAUUCGAUACUGCGGUGCUUGAGGACUGGAGAGGAGACUGGAAUUCAUGGUGUAGCAGUGAAAUGUGUAGAGAUCGGGAGGAACACCGGUGGCGAAGGCGGGUCUCUGGGCAUCUCCUGACGCUGAGGCGCGAAAGCGUGGGGAGCAAACGGG